UACGUAGGGUGCAAGCGUUAAUCGGAAUUACUGGGCGUAAAGCGUGCGCAGGCGGUUUUGUAAGUCUGACGUGAAAGCCCCGGGCUCAACCUGGGAAUUGCGUUGGAGACUGCAAGGCAUGAAUCUGGCAGAGGGGGGUAGAAUUCCACGUGUAGCAGUGAAAUGCGUAGAGAUGUGGAGGAACACCGAUGGCGAAGGCAGCCCCCUGGGUCAAGAUUGACGCUCAUGCACGAAAGCGUGGGGAGCAAACAGG
Molecule: ribosomal RNA, 253 nt
Filed under: uncultured bacterium
Lineage: Bacteria
Description: partial 16S ribosomal RNA
Rfam family: Bacterial small subunit ribosomal RNA
Source: RNAcentral